This 879-nucleotide ribosomal RNA is filed under the name Triticum aestivum (bread wheat). RNAcentral describes it as "partial small subunit ribosomal RNA". The record is from RNAcentral. Lineage: Eukaryota; Viridiplantae; Streptophyta; Magnoliopsida; Poales; Poaceae.
AUGGUGCUUGAGAUCCAUUUUGACAAAAUGGAUGAGAGGGCUCACAGGGCUCUUGUGAAGUCUCUAUGCAACCUCCGCAGAAUCAAAACUCUGGAGAUAUAUUGUGACUCGGUGGAUAUAGAGGAGUGGCCUCAUCAUGGCGGCUGGGAAGAUUGGACGCCAGCACCUUAUGAGAUUCGUGAGUUGACACUGUCUGGCAUGGUUUUACCAAGAAGGCUGCCGUGGAUGGCUCCCUCGUGUGUCCCCCACCUAUCCUACCUGUUGUUCACAGCUCAGGUGGUGGAACAACAGGAUCUGCGGAUCCUCGGGGGUCUGCCAUCGCUUCGCUGCCUGUACAUCUCGAGUGUUGACAACUGCCCUCUGUAUACUGUUCUAGCAAGCGAUGAGUUCCAAAACUUGAGAUAUCUGAGCACCAACAUAGAUAUUAAGUGUGGGGAGGGAGCACUGCCUAUGCUUCAUAAAUUGGUAUGUGGCGCCAGCAUAGGAAUGGAAGAUAUUGGUUUGGUACCGGGCAGCAUGCCUUUGCUGGAGAAAGUCACCUACUGGCUAAAUUGCAAGAAUUGCAACGGUGAUGAGGUGGAGGAAACGGAGGCAAAGCUGAGGCACGCCACCAGGAUCCACCCCAACAGUCCCGCCCUUGCAAUACGAAGGCACAACUACAAGCACACUUCCUCUGGAACAUACAAGGACCAACAACAGGGGCUGCCAAGGUUAAUUAUUCAAUCACUCAAGCGUGUGAUACGUGAUGGUGGAGAGGUUUCGGCCACCGAUGAAGAGCCGGAUGAUGGUGGCGCGCGCAAGAUAGCUCGUAUCGUCAAAGAGGAGGCAGCGGCAGCGCCGCCCAUGCUUAAAUCAUGUUGUUCCAUUAACAAGGUAUGA